GCGUUCUUCAAGCGAGCUUGGGAUAGUGGGAGCCAAGCAGAACAAGCUAAGAAACUGGCACUUUCUGUCGUAUUUUUUAAAAACAAUGAAGUAAUAAAUUAGGGUGGAACCGCGUUUCUGACG
This 123-nucleotide small RNA is filed under the name uncultured Streptococcus sp. Its description in RNAcentral is "Streptococcus sRNA SpR19". It matches the Rfam family "Streptococcus sRNA SpR19". Lineage: Bacteria; Bacillati; Bacillota; Bacilli; Lactobacillales; Streptococcaceae. The record is from RNAcentral.